This 964-nucleotide ribosomal RNA is filed under the name uncultured organism. RNAcentral's name for it is "bacterial SSU rRNA". It matches the Rfam family "Bacterial small subunit ribosomal RNA", at positions 20 to 990 of the family's 1533-position model. The record is from RNAcentral.
UGGCUCAGAAUGAACGUUGGCGGCGUGGAUUAGACAUGCAAGUCGUGCGAGAGACCAAUUAGCUUGCUAAGAGGUGGACAGCGGCGAAAGGGAGAGUAACGCGUGGUUACGUGCCCCGAGGUCCAGGAUAGCGUUGGGAAACCGGCGGUAAUACUGGAUGAUAUCUUCGGAUCAAAGGUGUGAUUCCGCCUUGGGAUCGGACCGCGUACUAUUAGCUUGUUGGUGGGGUAAUGGCCUACCAAGGCUGUGAUGGUUACCGGGUGUGAGAGCAUGGCCCGGCUCACUGGGACUGAGACACUGCCCAGACACCUACGGGUGGCUGCAGUCGAGAAUCUUCGGCAAUGGACGAAAGUCUGACCGAGCGACGCCGCGUGCGGGAUGAAGGCCCUCGGGUUGUAAACCGCUGUCAGUUGGAAGGAAGGGCCUGUGCAGAGCAGGUCUUGACCGAUCUUCAGAGGAAGGACGGGCUAAGUUCGUGCCAGCAGCCGCGGUAAGACGAACCGUCCAAACGUUAUUCGGUAUCACUGGGCUUAAAGCGUGCGUAGGCGGCCUGGAAGGUGAGAUGUGAAAGCCCACGGCUCAACCGUGGAAUCGCGUUUCAAACCACCAGGCUUGAGGAAGACAGGGGUGUUGGGAACUUAUGGUGGAGCGGUGAAAUGCGUUGAUAUCAUAGGGAACACCGGUGGCGAAGGCGCAACACUGGGUCUUUUCUGACGCUGAGGCACGAAAGCUAGGGUAGCGAACGGGAUUAGAUACCCCGGUAGUCCUAGCCGUAAACGAUGUGCACUGGGUUGAGGGGACUUCCACAUCCUCUCGGCCGUAGCGAAAGCGUUAAGUGCUCCGNCUGGGGAGUAUGGUCGCAAGGCUGAAACUCCAACGAAUUGACGGGGGCUCACACAAAGCGGUGGAGGAUGUGGCUUAAUUCGACGAUACGCGAAGAACCUUAUCCUAGAUUUGACAUGCU